RNAcentral lists this small nuclear RNA (108 nucleotides) under Mustela putorius furo (domestic ferret). The record is from RNAcentral. Lineage: Eukaryota; Metazoa; Chordata; Mammalia; Carnivora; Mustelidae.
AUGCUCACUUCAGCAGCAUAUAUAUAUAUUAAAAUUGGAACAAUACAGAGAAGACUAGCAUGGCCCCUAUGCAGAAAUGACAUGCGAAUUUAUGAAGCAUUUAUUUUU